AUGGAUGUACUGGCGGUAGUGUCACUACAGAUGUUAAAUCCGUAUCCGUAUCAAAAAGAUCCUCUCUGAUCCAUAUCACACUACGCACUGGAGUCAUUGGAAAUUGCGGACGACCGAAGAUUAGAAUAAUUAUAAUUCGGCCAAUCCUUAACCUUCAUCCUAAUCGGUUCUGCUCUGACGAACAACGGGAUUACGUGCUCACACACGUGCACCUCGACUUGUGUGCGUAUGGGCGAAGGGUUAAGCCUCGGAGAACUGUCAAAAGUGGAUGUCAAAGACGGUGGACGAUAAGUGCAAUACGGCGAUGUGGAGCGUUGACUGUCACCAUCACGACGAGCCGCUCGUCAAGAAGUAGACCAUCCGAUUGCCUCGAGGAACAUGGACCGAAUCCCGGAUGACCGAGGAGUUCCGUCACUCGCCGUCUAGUGGGGAUCCAGGAACGUGUGCUGAAGUGUACCCACAGCGGAGCACCGUGACCCGAUCACGUCCCCAAGGUCCGAUCGAAGGAUGCGAAGGAUGCCUACUGACAUUUUCCUGGGAAACAGCGGCACCCUUCAUCGCUCCUUGAUGUUCAUACUGAAACUCGGCUGGCAGUCGAGAUUCCGCUUGCCCGUGCUCCUGGUAAUCGUCUUCGUCGCCAUGGACUACAGGCUGCAGCUGGAGAUCGAAUUCGGGGACAACGCGGACCAACACGAUGACCUGUGAUCUGAAAUACACAAGAUCGGAUAAAUAAUAUAAUACGUAUACAUGAGAUAGUUUCUACUUCGAAACGCGAAAGCAGAAACGCGACCUGUAUUGGACUGGAGCGCUUGGAAAGUAGCGUUAACGGUUGAUCGGUAGUAAUACGUUUUUUCAUACGUUUUAAACAAUUUCAACUCGCCGUUGCAACUUUGUGCUUAGUACUUGUUGACUAUUGGCACUUGGACUUGCCAGACUCUCCUCUCCUCUGACAUAUGCAUUUGACAUAUACAAUUAAUUUAAAAUUUUUAUAAUGCUAUUUAUCUUAUAUAAUAUAGUCUAAUGUAUUAUUCUAUCUUAAUGUGUCUUAUAACAUAUUUAUAUCAUAAAUUAUACGAGUACAUUGUCUAAAUUAAACUGAUAAGCAUAAUUUAAUGGAAUUUUAUUACAGAAGUUUGUAACAAAAAAAUAGGUAUGAGAAAAUUGAAUUUCAGAAAAAUCUCUGAGAAGUAAAAUUGAGAUUUUUAUUUAACCGUAAAAAAAAAAUGAAUACAAGUAGCAGAGUUAAUAGAAGUUUAGGAAAUAUACGAAAUUGCAUGAAAGGAAA
Molecule: long non-coding RNA, 1285 nt
Organism: Temnothorax curvispinosus
Lineage: Eukaryota; Metazoa; Arthropoda; Insecta; Hymenoptera; Formicidae
Exons: 2
Source: RefSeq, a predicted model, not a curated record